RNAcentral lists this long non-coding RNA (754 nucleotides) under Calidris pugnax (ruff). RNAcentral's name for it is "lncRNA (ENSCPUG00000007947.1)". The record is from RNAcentral. Lineage: Eukaryota; Metazoa; Chordata; Aves; Charadriiformes; Scolopacidae.
GGUCACUGCCUAUAUAGAUAAAGACAUAAAGAUACGAACACGUAGACAUUCAGCUCAUGUGUAUUCAUUAGGGACUGAGGGCAUUUGGCAUCUUCCUUGUCCAACAAGUAACUCUUUCCUUGUCCUUUGUCCAAAGGUUCCUUUGUCCAGUUGCACAAGUUGAUCAGUCCACAGGAUAAUACGACCAAGAAAUAUAUUGUUUUAUUAUUAUUUUUGGUUGAGGUAAUUGCCUCACGGCCAUGGAACGUGAUACUGAGCCAGGCCUGAGGAUGCUGCAGCAAGUGGCUGGAGGAGAGCUGCUAUCACAGGAGGUGAGUGAGGUGUGACUGGCGUAGGAAAUUCGGUUGUCAGCCUGGCAAGGAAGGCAGACAGAGUUUGUCAUUGCCAGGAAGACAAACGGGGUUGGGCUGGAAUCACCAGGAGGACAGAUCGACCUGUGCAAGUCAAGUGGGCUUGUCUGUGCCCUCGGUGAUGGUGGCUGGAAGAAAGUCAACUAGGAGAGCUGCUAUUGCCCGCCUGCUAUUACGGUGGGUGAGGAAAGUCUCGGUGAGCCUGUGACCUGGGCAGGGCUGAGGAAGGAAUGCAGUGAUGCAGAAUUGGAUUAGUUAAUUGAAUGGUACUCUUAUGUGCUUGAAAGAAAAACACCGCCUCGAUAACUGAAGGUAACACCACUCAACAUUAUUUUAGAAGGGUUUUUUUUAUGAAAUCACGUGCUCCUAGAAGGGAAAUAUCUGAGUAAGGGUUCGGGGAAACA